RNAcentral lists this ribosomal RNA (508 nucleotides) under uncultured bacterium. RNAcentral describes it as "partial 16S ribosomal RNA". It matches the Rfam family "Bacterial small subunit ribosomal RNA", at positions 28 to 507 of the family's 1533-position model. The record is from RNAcentral.
GACGAACGCUGGCGGCGUGCCUAAUACAUGCAAGUCGAACGCUUCUUUCCUCCCGAGUGCUUGCACUCAAUUGGAAAGAGGAGUGGCGGACGGGUGAGUAACACGUGGGUAACCUACCCAUCAGAGGGGGAUAACACUUGGAAACAGGUGCUAAUACCGCAUAACAGUUUAUGCCGCAUGGCAUAAGAGUGAAAGGCGCUUUCGGGUGUCGCUGAUGGAUGGACCCGCGGUGCAUUAGCUAGGUGGUGAGGUAACGGCUCACCAAGGCCACGAUGCAUAGCCGACCCGAGAGGGUGAUCGGCCACACUGGGUCUGAGACACGGCCCAGACUCCUACGGGAGGCCGCAGUAGGGAAUCUUCGGCAAUGGACGAAAGUCUGACCGAGCAACGCCGCGUGAGUGAAGAAGGUUUUCGGAUCGUAGAACUCUGUUGUUAGAGAAGAACAAGGACGUUAGUAACUGAACGUCCCCUGACGGUAUCUAACCAGAAAGCCACGGCUAACUACGUG